Molecule: long non-coding RNA, 411 nt
Organism: Herpailurus yagouaroundi (jaguarundi)
Lineage: Eukaryota; Metazoa; Chordata; Mammalia; Carnivora; Felidae
Exons: 2
Source: RefSeq, a predicted model, not a curated record
UGGCUCCCGACCGCCCUGUAGACGAGGGGCCUCUUCAACCGUGGCCUCUGCGCGGGGACACCGGAAGGUCGGGAUGGGACGGGCACAGGCCCGAAGCGCUUUGGUGUCGCUGCUCUCAGUUCACGUGGUGCCUUUCUCUUCUUCACUUCCUGUCAGGAAUCUAUCCGCGUUUCUUCUAUGUUUCGAAGCAGUGCUCCACGUAUUGUCCAAAGCCGAACGUCCGCGAGCCGGAAUUCAGAGAAGGCGGACGAGCAAGCCGCUUGAGGAGCAGCGGGGCCUGGCUGGCCGCCUUCCUGACUCUGUCCUCUGUGUGAGGGGCCUCGGGCGGUGCCUUGGGAGCGCGGCACCGAUGACCCGGACUCGCCGCAGGUGAUGGGAACCUCAGCAUUAAACCUGUUUUCCGCUGGUUAA